AACCACUCUGAGAGUCCUUCAGUAAGGCAGGGUUUUCCUGAAACUUAGGCCUAAUUUUUCUGUUGGUGAAACUGGAGAGCUGCGGUGAGGCUGACUCUGCCCCUCUUUGGUAGGAGUGGGCCUUCUGGAGGUGGUCCUGGAGCCCGACAUGUCCUGUGGAGAAGAGGCGGCAACAGCUGUCAGGGAGCUGCAGCUGAUCCUUCAAGCCCUGGGGACCAGCCAGGCGAACAUGGCAGAGGGCCAGUUGAGAGUGGAUGCCAAUAUAUCCGUGCAUCACCCUGGGGAGCCUUUGGGCGUUCGAACGGAAGUGAAGAAUCUCAACAGCAUCAGGUUCCUGGCCAAAGCCAUAGACUAUGAAAUUCAGAGGCAAAUCAAUGAACUUGAGAAUGGAGGUGAAAUUCUGAACGAAACACGCUCAUUUCAUCACAAGCUGGGGUGCACCAUGUCAAUGAGAGACAAAGAAGGAAAACAGGACUACAGGUUCAUGCCAGAACCCAACCUGCCUCCCCUGGUGCUCUACGACGCCACAUCUCUGCCCUCAGGUGCAGACCCACAGCAAGUGAUCAAUAUUGACCAGAUUCGGGAGACACUCCCGGAGCUCCCCAGUGUGACCCGAGAGAAGCUUGUCCAACAGUAUGGGAUGCUGCUGGAACACAGCUUCACUUUGCUGAACGAAGUCGGCCUACUGGAGUUCUUC
RNAcentral lists this small RNA (697 nucleotides) under Pan troglodytes (chimpanzee). RNAcentral's name for it is "retained intron". Lineage: Eukaryota; Metazoa; Chordata; Mammalia; Primates; Hominidae. The record is from RNAcentral.